Molecule: long non-coding RNA, 888 nt
Organism: Pogoniulus pusillus (Red-fronted tinkerbird)
Lineage: Eukaryota; Metazoa; Chordata; Aves; Piciformes; Lybiidae
Exons: 3
Source: RefSeq, a predicted model, not a curated record
CUCAGAAGGUUCUAUGAGUUCUCUGCUUCUGCUGAAAACAUUCUUCAAACAUUGACGACUGAGAAGCCAUCUAGAGAGAAAUGAAGACCUGAAACCAACUGUGAACAACAUUCUGAUUUCUAAGUCCCUGUGACAUCUAUGACUACAUUUUAGGACUCUCGAAGACUACUUUUUGGCUACAGCAUCUUGCAGCGAACUCAGUCUCUGCUAUUCAUGUAGCAGCUCAGCUAACACGUCCCGCCUCAGCUACCACUGACAUGCAAAACCAGGUGUUCUUUCAAUUGCUGUGUCACUGCAAAAAGCUGACAGUCACUGGGUACGAUCAGGUGAAUGAACUCCCUUUUGCUACAGAGCUCCUGUAGCAAAGAUAAGGUGUGGGUGAAAGCCAUCAGUUAUUAUCCACUGCAUGGAGAAGAGGCUUGGCUCUAGUGUCUGCAUUUCCUGCAGCGUGAACACCUGUAUCCACUCCUCUGGCAUAAACCAAGUUUAAGUUAAUUGCAGCAUCUUCAAUGAAGUGUCAGCAGGGGAAAUUUGUAGCAGAUGUGUAGCUUUUUAUAGUAGUUCUUUGUUCUUAGAUUGUGUACAGUUGAAUCUUUCAGCGUGUUGGGCCAGAGAUGUGAGGUGUGUCUGGUGUGGCUAAUAGACCACUUCAGACCACGAUUCCUUUGGCACUGAUUGCACGAAUGAGAAGAGCUCAGAGGAGGUGUAUGACCAAGUGACCUCUGCAAGUUCUUUUCAACCUCAGCCAGUCUGUAACUUUGGCAAAGCAUGUCCAGCAGCACUGGAUAUGUUUUCAGAUACUUUGUGAGAUCCUUAUUGACACCUAGAAGAUUCUCAGAGUUGUGGUUUCUUUUUUUUGUUCAUCUGCUAAUAAAAAUUAAUUAGUAA